Molecule: long non-coding RNA, 873 nt
Organism: Pteropus alecto (black flying fox)
Lineage: Eukaryota; Metazoa; Chordata; Mammalia; Chiroptera; Pteropodidae
Exons: 3
Source: RefSeq, a predicted model, not a curated record
CCUCGAUGGCGGGCAGAGGCUGGAUUUCGGCGAACGUCGUCAUGGUCGUGGGCAGCUGGAUCUCUUUGGGGAUCAGGAUCUGAAAGCUGCUCAGUUGAAGAUGCAAUUGGCGCCUCAGCCUCAGAGACUGACUAUACCAUCCUUAUUGCAAAAAAUGACACAACAGCCUCUGAAGCUACAGACCCUCUAUCAGGAACCUCAUGGGUGGUCAGAGGAGGAUGUGGCCUGACCUUCAGGGAUGGCAUAUGGGGAGAUCCUGGUGCAAUUUCUCAUCACAAAGAAGUCUGAGAUCUCUGUAACUAGGGAUCCGUUAUGUCCAGACAGCUGUGUUCUAGGUGCUGUGACCAAGAGAUAGCCUUAGUCAGUCUAUGGACAAAAGGCUUUGGCUAUCCAAUUUUAUCUUCUCAGCAAGUGAUUAUUAAACUUAAUCAUGCAUAACAUUCAUCUAGGGCAUUUUCAAAUUUCCCAGGUAGGACUCCAAGAGAUUCUGAUUGGCUGGAUUGGGUUCCAAGGAUCCAUGUAUUUUACAAGCACUGUGCCCCCUGCUCUCCUAAGGGAUUUUGCAGCAGGUAUUUCACAAACAGAAACUCCAACAGGAAGCUAUCCUUUCUCUUUGGGUUCCGGUUGCUGCCUUGGUCUCCUGGAGGAGGCCAAGCUAGAGGGCUGACCUGCCUUUGCCAGGUGGGACAUAAAUAAUUUAUUCAUUUCAAACUGUCUCUGAAUGUCAGUUCAAUGACCUCUCCUCAUUUCAUCUGCCCAAACUGGCAGGAAUUAGAGCAUUCUGCCAUGAUAUACCAUCGUUAGGGAGCAAAUGUUAAUAUAGAGGGAGUUCGACCAUCAAAAAAAGUCUAUGGAAUUCAGAAUUUUUGCAGU